Scleropages formosus (Asian bonytongue) is the source of this 3714-nucleotide long non-coding RNA. The record is from Ensembl. NCBI's taxonomy places the organism in Eukaryota, Metazoa, Chordata, Actinopteri, Osteoglossiformes, Osteoglossidae.
AGAGCAGUGUGUCAUUUCCGGACGCCGAGUCUUUCCAGUAAGAGAAGUGAAACAGACCCCCCCCCCCCCCCGCCGCCGCCCCUCCCCCGCUCAACAGCGCGCUCGCGCCAGUGCCCCCGAGACUGUGUCCGUGCCCGUGUCCGCCAGCGCUCCGCUAUUAGGAUCCCCAUCGUGCUCUGAGACGCGGGUCCACAGCGAAGGCUUUAGGAUGCACCACCAUCUCCUUCUCUGGCUCAUUUUCCCGGCGGUGUUGGGCUUUGCAGAUCCCGAGUACUCGCUUUAUUCAACACUAAAGCCUUCAUCGGGACUGCAGGAACAGGACUGGACCCAACCAGCAGACGAUGCAGCCACUGAGGGAGAAUAUGAUGAUGAAGAGGAUUAUAGUUACGACUAUAAGGCAGAGUUUAAUGAUAGCAAUACAAAUAUUUUUCAGGUCAAGCUUUUCAACAAGACAUAUAAUGGAACUUUCAUCAAGUCAAUAAAUUAUUUUAAAAUUGACGAUGAAGAUAUAAGCAGUCGUUUAAAUCUUUCAGAUGGUAUGCAGAGUUUACAAAAGCUGUUUUGCAUGGUGUACAACAACAGUCAGUUUAGCUGCAAUUGGACGGCACAAAAGCCCCCCUCCGACACCCACAUUUCUUUCACUGUCUUUCAGCAAAAUGCAAGAGCCAGAACAUGGAACUGCUCCACUAGACGAAGCAGUGAAGUUGUAGAAUGCAGUGGCAGAAUCAACCCAGACAAACAUCUUAUGACUGUACAAAUCACUUUUUCCCUCCCAAAUUCAUUGUACGUCCAUACUCAACAUUUUGAGGUGAAAGAAAUUGAAAAGCUCAAUCCUCCACACAGAAUAACAAUGUCAUUAACUGCUGGAGACCUUCGAAUCGAAUGGGACCGUCCACAAAAUAUCGGUGAAAACUGCUUCAACUAUCAGUUACGGCUCAGCAAUGACACAGAGCCUAUUUCCUUGAUUGGGCAAAGAACACACACACUACCAAGUGUUGAUCCUGCCAGAAAGUAUUCUGUGCAGAUAAGAGUGAAAAAAACAAACACUUGCAUGGAAAAUUACAUCUGGAGUGACUGGAGUGAAGUAGUGGUGCUGAAUGCUGUUCAACAGCCUUCAAGUAUAAACGUGCUCCAGAUUGUUGGCAUUGGUCUCGGCAUUCCCAUGAUCCUCCUCGCCCUUCUGCUCUUCUGCAGAUUCCACAGGAUAUAUGACAAAAUUUUUCCUCAAAUUCCUGGCCCAUCAAAAAAGAUGAAGAUACUACUGGAGAAGGAGCACUUAUUCCUGACAACGAAGACAAAGUGCACAGAAGAAACACUUCAAGAUGUUACUAUUGUGGAAUGUGUGAAACUACCUGACUGAGUUUUUAAAACAUGAAAAUGACCUACUGGGAAGAAGCACAUUUUACCAUGGUGAAGUGGUGGCAGUCACAUCACAGGGUGGGGCUGAACUUGGACUUGAAUUUUUUCAGCGGGCCGCCUCUCCUUGAAGACUUACUGUCAUUAAUUGUCCAUCACAGACAUUAGGAAUAAGUAUACCAGGGAGCUGCUUUGAGCAUGGAAAGCAAACCGGUCGCAUGAAGAAAGCUUUUCCCCAAAGCAUGGUGACUGAGGCAGAGUACAGCAUGGUCAUCAGUCCAUCACAAGGCAAUCUCACACACACACACACACACACACACACACACACACACACGCACACAUGCACAUACACACACACACAUAGACUAAGGACAAUUUAAAGUCACCUGAAACACGUCUAUGGACUGUAGCAGGAAACCUAGGCAAACAUUGGGAGAAAACGCAAAAUUCGCAAAGGCUGAGCUAGGCUUGAACCCACAUCCAAACCCUCAACCCGGGAGCUCUGAAGCACCAGCAGUACCCACUUUCUCAUUUUAAACAACAUUUGUUUCUUCUUUCCGGAUAACCUUCUGUUUUUCAUUAUUGACGGACUCUUUGCAGUUUACUGGGAUUUUUUUUUCCAUAGAAACACUAAUGGAACUACCGGAAUUUUGAUAUUCAUCUUGCUGGCAUCAAAAGAUCAAGGUUAUCAUCUCCUGGCUGGCUCUGACACAUUCACUUCAUCACACACGAGGGCGUAGCUUCCUAUUUCUGUGAAACACUGACCCUUAUUCUUAACCCAUGCACUUCCUGCUUUUCAUUGUACCAACAGAGACAAUGAGAGCUCCAACAUCAGAGACACUCGAGAAGAUCCCAUAAAUGAUAUGCAUCUCUGGCUGGUCCCAUGGCAACCGUGUUGACUUUAGCGUUGCUUUUUUGAUCUUGCGACGCUUUGAUUCAUUCCUCUUUCACUCUUUUAGCUCAACCUAUCAUUGCAGUUCUGGGCUUUGUUCAUGACAGCUCUCAUCUUGUCUGAGUUUCUGAACAAACAGAUGGGAUCCCAGAGGACGCCUCCUUGCAGAAAGGAGGCUCGAUUUAACAGUAUUCAGAGAUCCCCCCUCACCCACCCUAAUUUUUUCCACCCCUCCAUCUUCCUUUGCACUGCAGUUCCUUCACAAGUCUUCUCCUUUUGCAGUCCAGAGCAUCUGUAUUUUCUUUACAUUGUGUAUGUAACCAUUGUAUGUGACUAUUGUAACCAUUGUAUGUAACCAUUGUAUGUAACCAGUGUAACCAUUGUGACCAUGUAACCAUUUCUAUUUGUUUAGCUAAUUAAUAGACCUUGAAGAAAUUCAUCCAGCAGUGAUUUUGCCGCCAUCUAGUGAGAAACUCAUUAAACGACACAUCGCAAAUUUUUAAAUGCAAUGCAGAACAUCAGUUGAAACAAUCUGAAGUGUCUUGAAAAAUACUACAACUACAAUACUGGAUUGUAAGGUACUAUCAGCAUUCAGUGAACAGAUUAAAAAAAUGCUGGCACAAAUAUUAAAAUGUGCAAUGCUUGGGAAUAGGGUUGCAGUCUUAUGAUUAGAUUCUGCACCCUAAAGUCUGCCAUGAGCUCAUGAGCUAUUUUUACCUCUUUUACAUCUGAGCUGAAAUCCUGAAUGGAAAAGAAAGUUUAUUAGAUCUCUGGCGUGGCUGGCAAUUAUGCUGCAACAGCCACCGCGUUUCAAAUACUGCAAGAAAAAAGUAAAGUGUAUUAAAGUCCUUUGGAAAUUAUUUUAAGUAUGUUUUGGGGGUUGUGAGGGCAGUGGGUAACAUGUUUGUCAAGUUCUCAUCAUGCAGUCAGAAGGGUCCCUUGAGCCAAGUAGUAACUCUGAAUUGCUGCAGUAAAAACACCUUGUUGCAUAAAAGGGCAAAUCAUUGUGCAGUUUGCCUUUGUAAAAACCUAAAGAUGUCAGGUUCUCUGGAGAGAAUUUUAAGAUAAAAAAUACAUAAUAGAUUUCACGGGCAUUUUUCACACACGCACACACGCAUCUUCUGAACUGCUUGUCCCAAACGGGGUCGCGGAGAGCCGGAGCCUAACCCGGCAACACAAGGCGUAAGGCUGGAGGGGGAGGGGACACACCCAGGACGGGACGCCAGUCCAUUGCAAGGCACCCCAAGCAGGACUUGAACCCCAGACCCACUGGAGAGCGGGACCUGGUCCAAACCACUGCGCCACCACGCCCCCCCGGGCAUUUUUCAUUAAAAAUUCUAAUAUAUGUAUGUCACCAUGCCUUGCAGAAGUCAGUUAAUGUUGUACAGGAUUCAUUUUUUUUUUAUUCUGUAAUACAGUAUACAGAUUCCCAAAGAAUAAAUUUAGGGUAAUCGAGGUUUCUUACA